This 2202-nucleotide small RNA is filed under the name Pan troglodytes (chimpanzee). Its description in RNAcentral is "retained intron". Lineage: Eukaryota; Metazoa; Chordata; Mammalia; Primates; Hominidae. The record is from RNAcentral.
GGGCAGGGAAGCUCCAGGCAAACAGCCCAGCAAACAGCAGCACUCAGCUAAAAGGAAGACUCACAGAAGACAGUUGAAGAAGGAAAGUGGCGAUGGACCUCAUCCCAAAUUUGGCGGUGGAAACCUGGCUUCUCCUGGCUGUCAGCCUGGUGCUCCUCUAUCUGAUGAGAGUCCCCAAAUCAGCGAAGAGUCCACUUACUAAACAGACAUAAGGAAAUGAAGUGUCCUGGAAGAAUUCCUGCCUGAACCUCUCAGGAGCAUUUGAGGACAUUUAUCAAGUAUUCACUCCAGGCUUGGGACUAUGAAGACUUCAGCUGCUUUCAGCUAAUCAUUGAGACUUUUCACGGGUCUCAGAAUAGAGUCAGGAAAGGACCUGAUGAGUGAAUGCAAUUACUGAUGUUGGAGUUGCUGUUAUUAUUUAUCGUGUACAUAUUACCUCCCUCUCUUGACCAUUCCAGUUCCUGAGUAACUCACCAGCCCUCUGAUCUAUAAAGUCACAAUCCCUGUGACCUGAUUUCUGUUUAACUUCGUAGAUAUGGGACCCGUACACAUGGACUUUUUAAGAGACUGGGAAUUCCAGGGCCCACACCUCUGCCUUUGUUGGGAAAUGUUUUGUCCUAUCGUCAGGGUCUCUGGAAAUUUGACACAGAGUGCUAUAAAAAGUAUGGGAAAAUGUGGGGUAUCUCUUCCCUGUUUGGACCACAUUGCCCUUCAUCACAUGAAGACUUGGGUGGCUCCUGUGUCAGACUCUUGCUGUGUGUCACACCCUAAUGAACUAGAACCUAAGGUUGCUGUGUGUCGUACAACUAGGGAAUGUAUGAUGGUCAACUCCCUGUGCUGGCCAUCACAGAUCCCGACAUGAUCAGAACAGUGCUAGUGAAAGAAUGUUAUUCUGUCUUCACAAAUCGAAGGUCUUUAGGCCCAGUGGGAUUUAUGAAAAGUGCCAUCUCUUUAGCUGAGGAUGAAGAAUGGAAGAGAAUACGGUCAUUGCUGUCUCCAACCUUCACCAGCGGAAAACUCAAGGAGAUGUUCCCCAUCAUUGCCCAGUAUGGAGAUGUAUUGGUGAGAAACUUGAGGCGGGAAGCAGAGAAAGGCAAGCCUGUCACCUUGAAAGACAUCUUUGGGGCCUACAGCAUGGAUGUGAUUACUGGCACAUCAUUUGGAGUGAACAUCGACUCUCUCAACAAUCCACAAGACCCCUUUGUGGAGAGCACUAAGAAGUUCCUAAAAUUUGGUUUCUUAGAUCCAUUAUUUCUCUCAAUAAUACUCUUUCCAUUCCUUACCCCAGUUUUUGAAGCAUUAAAUGUCUCUCUGUUUCCAAAAGAUACCAUAAAUUUUUUAAGUAAAUCUGUAAACAGAAUGAAGAAAAGUCGCCUCAACGACAAACAAAAGCACCGACUAGAUUUCCUUCAGCUGAUGAUUGACUCCCAGAAUUCGAAAGAAACUGAGUCCCACAAAGCUCUGUCUGAUCUGGAGCUCGCAGCCCAGUCAAUAAUCUUCAUUUUUGCUGGCUAUGAAACCACCAGCAGUGUUCUUUCCUUCACUUUAUAUGAACUGGCCACUCACCCUGAUGUCCAGCAGAAACUGCAAAAGGAGAUUGAUGCAGUUUUGCCCAAUAAGGCACCACCUACCUAUGAUGCCGUGGUACAGAUGGAGUACCUUGACAUGGUGGUGAAUGAAACACUCAGAUUAUUCCCAGUUGCUAUUAGACUUGAGAGGACCUGCAAGAAAGAUGUUGAAAUCAAUGGGGUAUUCAUUCCCAAAGGGUCAAUGGUGGUGAUUCCAACUUAUGCUCUUCACCAUGACCCAAAGUACUGGACAGAGCCUGAGGAGUUCCGCCCUGAAAGGUUCAGUAAGAAGAAGGACAGCAUAGAUCCUUACAUAUACACACCCUUUGGAACUGGACCCAGAAACUGCAUUGGCAUGAGGUUUGCUCUCAUGAACAUGAAACUUGCUCUAAUCAGAGUCCUUCAGAACUUCUCCUUCAAACCUUGUAAAGAAACACAGAUCCCCUUGAAAUUAGACACGCAAGGACUUCUUCAACCAGAAAAACCCAUUGUUCUAAAGGUGGAUUCAAGAGAUGAGUGGAGAAUGAGUUAUUCUAAGGACUUCUACUUUGGUCUUCAAGAAAGCUGUGCCCCAGAACACCAGAGAUUUCAACUUAGUCAAUAAAACCUUGAAAUAAAGAUGGGCUUAAUCUAA